RNAcentral lists this transfer RNA (73 nucleotides) under Diaphorina citri (Asian citrus psyllid). It matches the Rfam family "tRNA". Rfam says of the family: Transfer RNA (tRNA) molecules are approximately 80 nucleotides in length. Lineage: Eukaryota; Metazoa; Arthropoda; Insecta; Hemiptera; Psyllidae. The record is from Rfam by way of RNAcentral.
GCCUAGUUAGCUUGGUUGGUAGCGCGUCUGCCUUGUAAGCGCUAGGCCGCGGGUUCGAUUCCCACACGGGGCG